RNAcentral lists this ribosomal RNA (608 nucleotides) under uncultured bacterium. RNAcentral describes it as "bacterial SSU rRNA". It matches the Rfam family "Bacterial small subunit ribosomal RNA", at positions 338 to 951 of the family's 1533-position model. The record is from RNAcentral.
CCUACGGGAGGCAGCAGUAAGGAAUAUUGGUCAAUGGACGAAAGUCUGAACCAGCCAUGCCGCGUGAAGGAUUAAGGCCCUCUGGGUUGUAAACUUCUUUUAUCUGGGACGAAAAAAGGGUAUUCUUACUCACUUGACGGUACCAGAGGAAUAAGCACCGGCUAACUCCGUGCCAGCAGCCGCGGUAAUACGGAGGGUGCAAGCGUUAUCCGGAUUUACUGGGUUUAAAGGGUGCGUAGGUGGGCUUGUAAGUCAGUGGUGAAAUCUCCGGGCUUAACCCGGAAACUGCCAUUGAUACUAUAGGUCUUGAAUUAUCUGGAGGUAAGCGGAAUAUGUCAUGUAGCGGUGAAAUGCCUAGAUAUGACAUAGAACACCAAUUGCGAAGGCAGCUUACUACGGAUAUAUUGACACUGAGGCACGAAAGCGUGGGGAUCAAACAGGAUUAGAUACCCUGGUAGUCCACGCCCUAAACGAUGGAUACUCGACAUCAGCGAUACACUGUUGGUGUCUGAGCGAAAGCAUUAAGUAUCCACCUGGGAAGUACGAUCGCAAGAUUGAAACUUAAGGAAUUGACGGCUGAGACGNGCGAGACGACACGAGGGAGGAGG